UCCCAAGUGACUCAGUGGUAAAGAAUCUGCCUGCAAUGCAGGAGACCCAGGUUCGAUCCCUGAGUUGUGAA
RNAcentral lists this transfer RNA (71 nucleotides) under Bos taurus (domestic cattle). It matches the Rfam family "tRNA". Rfam says of the family: Transfer RNA (tRNA) molecules are approximately 80 nucleotides in length. Their secondary structure includes four short double-helical elements and three loops (D, anti-codon, and T loops). Further hydrogen bonds mediate the characteristic L-shaped molecular structure. tRNAs have two regions of fundamental functional importance: the anti-codon, which is responsible for specific mRNA codon recognition, and the 3' end, to which the tRNAs corresponding amino acid is attached (by aminoacyl-tRNA synthetases). tRNAs cope with the degeneracy of the genetic code in two manners: having more than one tRNA (with a specific anti-codon) for a particular amino acid; and 'wobble' base-pairing, i.e. permitting non-standard base-pairing at the 3rd anti-codon position. Lineage: Eukaryota; Metazoa; Chordata; Mammalia; Artiodactyla; Bovidae. The record is from Rfam by way of RNAcentral.